AUCCUACGGGAGGCAGCAGUGAGGAAUUUUCGUCAAUGGGCGCAAGCCUGAACGAGCAAUGCCGCGUGAACGAGGAAGGUCUUCGGAUCGUAAAGUUCUGUUGAAGGGGAAAAAGAGCGGAGAGGGGACAUGAACUCCGAUUGAUAUUACCCUUCGAGGAAGUCACGGCUAACUACGUGCCAGCAGCCGCGGUAAUACGUAGGUGGCGAGCGUUAUCCGGAAUGAUUGGGCGUAAAGGGUGCGUAGGCGGCCUGCUAAGUCUGGAGUGAAAGGCACCGGCUCAACCGGUACAGGCUCUGGAAACU
This 305-nucleotide ribosomal RNA is filed under the name uncultured bacterium. RNAcentral describes it as "bacterial SSU rRNA". It matches the Rfam family "Bacterial small subunit ribosomal RNA", at positions 335 to 634 of the family's 1533-position model. The record is from RNAcentral.